RNAcentral lists this small RNA (370 nucleotides) under Vibrio anguillarum. RNAcentral's name for it is "csrD". Lineage: Bacteria; Pseudomonadati; Pseudomonadota; Gammaproteobacteria; Vibrionales; Vibrionaceae. The record is from RNAcentral.
GUCAGCAGGAAGCGGACACGGAACAGGAAAGACCCAAGGAUAGGUCAUCUUCAGGACGAAGAUUCGAUAAUUCAGGAAGAAUGAUCGGCAAGGAUAGCGAAGGACAUUAGCUGGAUGCUGAAUAACUAGGAUGGUUAUCAAGGAAAGUUAAUGGACGGUGCAAAGGAAAAGUGCACAAAUCUGUCGGGACGACGGAGUUAAGGACACCGCUAGGAAGGCGAUGAAAGGGAAUGCGCUGAGGGAAUCAGCAGACUAUCAAGGAAUUGAUGCAGGGAGCACUUAUCAGUAGCUGGAUUGCUGCGAGUAAGAACUGGAACCCCACUAAGCGAGAGCUUAGUGGGGUUUUCUUUAUUUUGGUUACCUGAAAAUA